RNAcentral lists this ribosomal RNA (254 nucleotides) under uncultured Actinomycetales bacterium. RNAcentral describes it as "partial 16S ribosomal RNA". It matches the Rfam family "Bacterial small subunit ribosomal RNA", at positions 78 to 334 of the family's 1533-position model. Lineage: Bacteria; Bacillati; Actinomycetota; Actinomycetes; Actinomycetales. The record is from RNAcentral.
UUUUGUGGGGUGCUCGAGUGGCGAACGGGUGAGUAACACGUGAGUAACCUGCCCUUGACUUUGGGAUAACUUCAGGAAACUGGGGCUAAUACCGGAUAGGAGCUCCUGCUGCAUGGUGGGGGUUGGAAAGUUUCGGCGGUUGGGACGGACUCGCGGCUUAUCAGCUUGUUGGUGGGGUAGUGGCUUACCAAGGCUUUGACGGGUAGCCGGCCUGAGAGGGUGACCGGCCACAUUGGGACUGAGAUACGGCCCAG